AUGACAUAAACUCGAUAGCAACCCUCUUCGUCUUCAACAUUUUUCAUCUUUGAUAUCUAGAGUUCAUAGUGUUCUUCAUUCUCUGCUUUGAUAAACUGUCCAUGGAGUUUUUGGAUGGUGAUGAGAGACGACUAUUUACGGAGAAUCUCAUGAGCAGUUUGUCAUUGGUGUUUUAACACCGGGUUGUUAUAGACCAUCGUCGAAGUAUGUCUGCUCAGAUUCUGGGAAGCCAAGAAUGUGCGAAGAGGCUCGCCCAGAUGCUUCUUCUUGACUCGAAGAUUACACCUCCUCUGCAAUUCGGCUUCAUAACAUCUCAGCCAAGAAGAACGAUUGGUUUGCACUAGGACGCAUUCAAUACCCCCUCCUCCAUGGUUACCGAAGAAAUCUUCUCCUAUAAAUAAGGAUGUAUUUUCAAUUGAACUCAUCAUUAUGAUGAUAAAGUUUUGGGUUUCAUCCAAGGAUAUUAAUGUGUCUUUGAUAUUGAGGUACACCAGAGCAUCCACUAGGACUUUCACACUCAAGAAAGAUGAAGAAGUCAUAUGCGUAAGUAGACAUUCUAAAGACAGGAGUCUAAACUUGGAUUUUAUGUUCUCCUCUGGUUUCUACUGCUUCUAUAUAGUCUUACAACACUGUUCUCUUGCCGCAUUCGCUACUUGAAAAAUCUCUCCAUUUGCCUAAAUUUUGCGAGCUCAGUGUUGCGGUUGUGGUGUGUUGAGGUUUUGAGCUAGAGAUGUCGCUCAAAUGUCUCCAUUUUUCUUUCGUAUCUCGAAGUCAGCAUGGCUCUUUUUGCAGGUCAACCUAACGAAUCUGGAACAUACUAAUGAGAACUACAGUCAUGAAGGAACAUAAGGAAUUGGUGAUAAGGAAUCUGGCGAGACCGCGAGCAGCACGAAGAAAGGAGCAAAAUGCGGUGGCGACGGAAUCAAAACAGAUACAUGUGGGUUAAAACAUCACAAUGAUCCUUAGUUUGUCACGGAAUCUCAUCAUCAGAUGUGUUCACUUCUGGGAAGCUAUGGACAUACAUGGCUUCUCAAGUUUUUGCAGCGAAACUUACUAAGUCCCUAGCCAAAUAAAUAACAGGUAAAAGAAAGUGGAAACAGUCGAGACACUCAAGGCAUGGAGCAACAGAGAAGAGAUAGACUUCGCCGUUGAAGUCGAGAUUCUUUCCCGGCACAAGAACGUUCUGAGUGUUCGUGGCUACUGUCGUGCAACAAGUUUGAAUUUGCAAAAGAAAAGUCAACGUUAGUGGGUUUUAUCUUUCUGCUAUAUAGAUCAUUGGUUGGUUUUGUUAGCAAUCGUUAGUGGAUUUGUGCAUAAUUGUUACUUUUCUGAAGAAAAUAAUUCUGUAAAUUGAAAAUUAUAAAUGUUGAAAAUUUUAUUUGUUACUUUUUGUAGACAAU
Raphanus sativus (radish) is the source of this 1400-nucleotide long non-coding RNA. RefSeq lists it as uncharacterized. The transcript has 7 exons. The record is from RefSeq and is a predicted model, not a curated record. Lineage: Eukaryota; Viridiplantae; Streptophyta; Magnoliopsida; Brassicales; Brassicaceae.